UGGGGAAUAUUGGACAAUGGGCGCAAGCCUGAUCCAGCCAUGCCGCGUGGAUGAUGAAGGCCCUAGGGUUGUAAAGUCCUUUCGACGGGGAAGAUAAUGACGGUACCCGUAGAAGAAGCCCCGGCUAACUUCGUGCCAGCAGCCGCGGUAAUACGAAGGGGGCUAGCGUUGCUCGGAAUCACUGGGCGUAAAGGGCGCGUAGGCGGCAAUUCAAGUCAUCUGUGAAAUCUCCGGGCUUAACUCGGAACGGUCAGAUGAUACUGCUUUGCUAGAGUGCAGAAGGGGCAAUCGGAAUUCUUGGUGUAGCGGUGAAAUGCGUAGAUAUCAAGAGGAACACCUGAGGUGAAGACGGGUUGCUGGGCUGACACUGACGCUGAGGCGCGAAAGCCAGGGGAGCAAACGGGAUUAGAUACCCAAGUAGUCCCUGAGCGGGCUGGCAAGGCGCAU
This 447-nucleotide ribosomal RNA is filed under the name uncultured bacterium. RNAcentral describes it as "bacterial SSU rRNA". It matches the Rfam family "Bacterial small subunit ribosomal RNA", at positions 355 to 825 of the family's 1533-position model. The record is from RNAcentral.